RNAcentral lists this ribosomal RNA (609 nucleotides) under Actinomycetales bacterium A246. Its description in RNAcentral is "bacterial SSU rRNA". It matches the Rfam family "Bacterial small subunit ribosomal RNA", at positions 54 to 680 of the family's 1533-position model. The record is from RNAcentral. Lineage: Bacteria; Bacillati; Actinomycetota; Actinomycetes; Actinomycetales.
CAUGCAAGUCGAGCGGUAAGGCCCUUCGGGGUACACGAGCGGCGAACGGGUGAGUAACACGUGGGUGAUCUGCCUUGCACUCUGGGAUAAGCCUGGGAAACUGGGUCUAAUACCGGAUAUGACCUUUGGUUGCAUGACCAGGGGUGGAAAGAUUUAUCGGUGCAAGAUGAGCCCGCGGCCUAUCAGCUUGUUGGUGGGGUAAUGGCCUACCAAGGCGACGACGGGUAGCCGGCCUGAGAGGGCGACCGGCCACACUGGGACUGAGACACGGCCCAGACUCCUACGGGAGGCAGCAGUGGGGAAUAUUGCACAAUGGGCGGAAGCCUGAUGCAGCGACGCCGCGUGAGGGAUGACGGCCUUCGGGUUGUAAACCUCUUUCGACUCCGACGAAGCGAAAGUGACGGUAGGAGUAUAAGAAGCACCGGCCAACUACGUGCCAGCAGCCGCGGUAAUACGUAGGGUGCGAGCGUUGUCCGGAAUUACUGGGCGUAAAGAGCUUGUAGGCGGCUUGUCGCGUCGAUCGUGAAAACUCGGGGCUCAACCCCGAGCUUGCGGUCGAUACGGGCAGGCUUGAGUACUUCAGGGGAGACUGGAAUUCCUGGUGUAGCG